ACUCAAAUGAAUUGACGGGGACCCGCACAAGCGGUGGAGCAUGUGGUUUAAUUCGACGCAACGCGAAGAACCUUACCAAGUCUUGACAUCCUUUUGACCGGUCGGUAAUGCGACCUUCUCUUCGGAGCAAAAGUGACAGGUGGUGCAUGGUUGUCGUCAGCUCGUGUCGUGAGAUGUUGGGUUAAGUCCCGCAACGAGCGCAACCCUUAUCUUUAGUAGCCAGCAUUUCGGAUGGGCACUCUAGAGAGACUGCCAGGGAUAACCUGGAGGAAGGUGGGGAUGACGUCAAAUCAUCAUGCCCCUUAUGACUUGGGCUACACACGUGCUACAAUGGCGUAAACAAAGGGACGCAAUACCGCGAGGUUGAGCAAAUCCCAAAAAUAACGUCUCAGUUCGGAUUGUAGUCUGCAACUCGACUACAUGAAGCUGGAAUCGCUAGUAAUCGCAAAUCAGAAUGUUGCGGUGAAUACGUUCCCGGGUCUUGUACACACCGCCCGU
Molecule: ribosomal RNA, 498 nt
Filed under: uncultured bacterium
Lineage: Bacteria
Description: bacterial SSU rRNA
Rfam family: Bacterial small subunit ribosomal RNA
Source: RNAcentral